GAGUAGGGCGGGACACGUGGUAUCCUGUCUGAAUAUGGGGGGACCAUCCUCCAAGGCUAAAUACUCCUGACUGACCGAUAGUGAACCAGUACCGUGAGGGAAAGGCGAAAAGAACCCCGGCGAGGGGAGUGAAAAAGAACCUGAAACCGUGUACGUACAAGCAGUGGGAGCACCCUUUGGGGUGUGACUGCGUACCUUUUGUAUAAUGGGUCAGCGACUUAUAUUCUGUAGCAAGGUUAACCGAAUAGGGGAGCCGGAGGGAAACCGAGUCUUAACCGGGCGUUAAGUUGCAGGGUAUAGACCCGAAACCCGGUGAUCUAGCCAUGGGCAGGUUGAAGGUUGGGUAACACUAACUGGAGGACCGAACCGACUAAUGUUGAAAAAUUAGCGGAUGACCUGUGGCUGGGGGUGAAAGGCCAAUCAAACCGGGAGAUAGCUGGUUCUCCCCGAAAGCUAUUUAGGUAGCGCCUCGUGAACUCAUCUCCGGGGGUAGAGCACUGUUUCGGCUAGGGGGCCAUCCCGGCUUACCAACCCGAUGCAAACUGCGAAUACCGGAGAAUGUUAUCACGGGAGACACACGGCGGGUGCUAACGUCCGUCGUGAAGAGGGAAACAACCCAGACCGCCAGCUAAGGUCCCAAAGUCAUGGUUAAGUGGGAAACGAUGUGGGAAGGCCCAGACAGCCAGGAUGUUGGCUUAGAAGCAGCCAUCAUUUAAAGAAAGCGUAAUAGCUCACUGGUCGAGUCGGCCUGCGCGGAAGAUGUAACGGGGCUAAACCAUGCACCGAAGCUGCGGCAGCGACACUCAGGUGUUGUUGGGUAGGGGAGCGUUCUGUAAGCCUGCGAAGGUGGCCUGUGAGGGUUGCUGGAGGUAUCAGAAGUGCGAAUGCUGACAUAAGUAACGAUAAAGCGGGUGAAAAGCCCGCUCGCCGGAAGACCAAGGGUUCCUGUCCAACGUUAAUCGGGGCAGGGUGAGUCGACCCCUAAGGCGAGGCCGAAAGGCGUAGUCGAUGGGAAACGGGUUAAUAUUCCCGUACUUGGUGUUACUGCGAAGGGGGGACGGAGAAGGCUAUGUUGGCCGGGCGACGGUUGUCCCGGUUUAAGCGUGUAGGUGUGUGUUCCAGGUAAAUCCGGUUCACUUUAACACUGAGGCGUGAUGACGAGGCACUACGGUGCUGAAGCAACAAAUGCCCUGCUUCCAGGAAAAGCCUCUAAGCAUCAGGUAACAUCAAAUCGUACCCCAAACCGACACAGGUGGUCAGGUAGAGAAUACCAAGGCGCUUGAGAGAACUCGGGUGAAGGAACUAGGCAAAAUGGUGCCGUAACUUCGGGAGAAGGCACGCUGACACGUAGGUGAAGUGAUUUACUCAUGGAGCUGAAGUCAGUCGAAGAUACCAGCUGGCUGCAACUGUUUAUUAAAAACACAGCACUGUGCAAACACGAAAGUGGACGUAUACGGUGUGACGCCUGCCCGGUGCCGGAAGGUUAAUUGAUGGGGUCAGCGCAAGCGAAGCUCCUGAUCGAAGCCCCGGUAAACGGCGGCCGUAACUAUAACGGUCCUAAGGUAGCGAAAUUCCUUGUCGGGUAAGUUCCGACCUGCACGAAUGGCGUAAUGAUGGCCAGGCUGUCUCCACCCGAGACUCAGUGAAAUUGAACUCGCUGUGAAGAUGCAGUGUACCCGCGGCAAGACGGAAAGACCCCGUGAACCUUUACUAUAGCUUGACACUGAACAUUGAGCCUUGAUGUGUAGGAUAGGUGGGAGGCUUUGAAGUGUGGACGCCAGUCUGCAUGGAGCCGGCCUUGAAAUACCACCCUUUAAUGUUUGAUGUUCUAACGUGGACCCGUGAUCCGGGUUGCGGACAGUGUCUGGUGGGUAGUUUGACUGGGGCGGUCUCCUCCUAAAGAGUAACGGAGGAGCACGAAGGUUGGCUAAUCCUGGUCGGACAUCAGGAGGUUAGUGCAAUGGCAUAAGCCAGCUUGACUGCGAGCGUGACGGCGCGAGCAGGUGCGAAAGCAGGUCAUAGUGAUCCGGUGGUUCUGAAUGGAAGGGCCAUCGCUCAACGGAUAAAAGGUACUCCGGGGAUAACAGGCUGAUACCGCCCAAGAGUUCAUAUCGACGGCGGUGUUUGGCACCUCGAUGUCGGCUCAUCACAUCCUGGGGCUGAAGUAGGUCCCAAGGGUAUGGCUGUUCGCCAUUUAAAGUGGUACGCGAGCUGGGUUUAGAACGUCGUGAGACAGUUCGGUCCCUAUCUGCCGUGGGCGCUGGAGAACUGAGGGGGGCUGCUCCUAGUACGAGAGGACCGGAGUGGACGCAUCACUGGUGUUCGGGUUGUCAUGCCAAUGGCACUGCCCGGUAGCUAAAUGCGGAAGAGAUAAGUGCUGAAAGCAUCUAAGCACGAAACUUGCCCCGAGAUGAGUUCUCCCUGAGACUUUAGGUCUCCUGAAGGAACGUUGAAGACGACGACGUUGAUAGGCCGGGUGUGUAAGCGCAGCGAUGCGUUGAGCUAACCGGUACUAAUGAACCGUGAGGCUUAACCUUACA
This 2540-nucleotide ribosomal RNA is filed under the name Salmonella enterica. RNAcentral's name for it is "partial 23S ribosomal RNA". It matches the Rfam family "Bacterial large subunit ribosomal RNA", at positions 410 to 2925 of the family's 2925-position model. The record is from RNAcentral. Lineage: Bacteria; Pseudomonadati; Pseudomonadota; Gammaproteobacteria; Enterobacterales; Enterobacteriaceae.